RNAcentral lists this ribosomal RNA (429 nucleotides) under uncultured Sinobacteraceae bacterium. RNAcentral describes it as "bacterial SSU rRNA". It matches the Rfam family "Bacterial small subunit ribosomal RNA", at positions 355 to 776 of the family's 1533-position model. The record is from RNAcentral. Lineage: Bacteria; Pseudomonadati; Pseudomonadota; Gammaproteobacteria; Nevskiales; Nevskiaceae.
UGGGGAAUUUUGGACAAUGGGGGCAACCCUGAUCCAGCGACGCCGCGUGUGUGAAGAAGGCCUGCGGGUUGUAAAGCACUUUCGUUGGGAACGAAAUAUGCCGACCUAAUACGUCGGUAGGCUGACGUUACCCAAAUAAGAAGCACCGGCUAACUCUGUGCCAGCAGCCGCGGUAAUACAGAGGGUGCGAGCGUUAAUCGGAAUUACUGGGCGUAAAGCGCACGUAGGUGGCUAUGUAAGUCAGGUGUGAAAUCCCCGGGCUCAACCUGGGAACUGCACUUGGGACUGCAUGGCUAGAGUAUGGGAGAGGAAGGCGGAAUUCCCGGUGUAGCGGUGAAAUGCGUAGAUAUCGGGAGGAACAUCAGUGGCGAAGGCGGCCUUCUGGCCCAAUACUGACACUCAGGUGCGAAAGCGUGGGGAGCAAACAGG